This 433-nucleotide ribosomal RNA is filed under the name uncultured bacterium. Its description in RNAcentral is "bacterial SSU rRNA". It matches the Rfam family "Bacterial small subunit ribosomal RNA", at positions 28 to 507 of the family's 1533-position model. The record is from RNAcentral.
GAUGAACGCUGGCGGCGUGCUUAACACAUGCAAGUCGAACGAACCUUCGGGGUUAGUGGCGGACGGGUGAGUAACGCGUGAGAAUCUGCCCUCAGGAGGGGGAUAACGGCUGGAAACGGCCGCUAAUACCCCAUAUGCCGAGAGGUGAAAUGAAUUUCGCCUGAGGAUGAGCUCGCGUCUGAUUAGCUUGUUGGUGGGGUAAUGGCCUACCAAGGCGACGAUCAGUAGCUGGUCUGAGAGGAUGAUCAGCCACACUGGGACUGAGGCACGGCCCAGACUCCUACGGGAGGCAGCAGUGGGGAAUUUUCCGCAAUGGGCGAAAGCCUGACGGAGCAACGCCGCGUGAGGGAUGAAGGCCUCUGGGCUGUAAACCUCUUUUAUCAAGGAAGAAGAUCUGACGGUACUUGAUGAAUAAGCCACGGCUAAUUCCGUG